RNAcentral lists this ribosomal RNA (305 nucleotides) under Methylobacterium sp. yr596. Its description in RNAcentral is "16S rRNA. Bacterial SSU". It matches the Rfam family "Bacterial small subunit ribosomal RNA", at positions 1 to 329 of the family's 1533-position model. Lineage: Bacteria; Pseudomonadati; Pseudomonadota; Alphaproteobacteria; Hyphomicrobiales; Methylobacteriaceae. The record is from RNAcentral.
UUCAACUUGAGAGUUUGAUCCUGGCUCAGAGCGAACGCUGGCGGCAGGCUUAACACAUGCAAGUCGAGCGGGCAUCCUUGUGGUGUCAGCGGCAGACGGGUGAGUAACGCGUGGGAACGUGCCCUUCGGUUCGGAAUAACUCAGGGAAACUUGAGCUAAUACCGGAUACGCCCUUAUGGGGAAAGGUUUACUGCCGAAGGAUCGGCCCGCGUCUGAUUAGCUAGUUGGUGAGGUUAUGGCUCACCAAGGCGACGAUCAGUAGCUGGUCUGAGAGGAUGAUCAGCCACACUGGGACUGAGACACGG